Molecule: ribosomal RNA, 305 nt
Filed under: uncultured bacterium
Lineage: Bacteria
Description: bacterial SSU rRNA
Rfam family: Bacterial small subunit ribosomal RNA
Source: RNAcentral
UGUUCCUACGGGAGGCAGCAGUGGGGGAUAUUGCACAAUGGGGGGAACCCUGAUGCAGCGACGCCGCGUGGGUGAAGAAGCGCCUCGGCGCGUAAAGCCCUGUCAGCAGGGAAGAAAAUGACGGUACCUGAAGAAGAAGCCCCGGCUAACUACGUGCCAGCAGCCGCGGUAAUACGUAGGGGGCAAGCGUUAUCCGGAUUUACUGGGUGUAAAGGGGGCGCAGACGGCGAGGCAAGCCAGGAGGGAAAGCCCGGGGGCCAACCCCGGGCGUGCCCUUGGAACUGCGUGGCUGGAGUGCGGGAGGG